RNAcentral lists this ribosomal RNA (253 nucleotides) under uncultured bacterium. RNAcentral's name for it is "partial 16S ribosomal RNA". It matches the Rfam family "Bacterial small subunit ribosomal RNA", at positions 524 to 776 of the family's 1533-position model. The record is from RNAcentral.
UACGUAGGGCGCAAGCGUUGUCCGGAAUUAUUGGGCGUAAAGAGCUCGUAGGCGGCUUGUCACGUCGGGUGUGAAAGCCCGGGGCUUAACCCCGGGUCUGCAUUCGAUACGGGCUAGCUGGAGUGUGGUAGGGGGGAUCGGAAUUCCUGGUGUAGCGGUGAAAUGCGCAGAUAUCAGGAGGAACACCGGUGGCGAAGGCGGAUCUCUGGGCCAUUACUGACGCUGAGGAGCGAAAGCGUGGGGAGCGAACAGG